Molecule: ribosomal RNA, 252 nt
Filed under: uncultured bacterium
Lineage: Bacteria
Description: partial 16S ribosomal RNA
Rfam family: Bacterial small subunit ribosomal RNA
Source: RNAcentral
UACAGAGGUCUCGAGCGUUGUUCGGAUUCAUUGGGCGUAAAGGGUGCGUAGGUGGCUAGGUAAGUCGAUGUGAAAUCCCGGGGCUCAACCCCGGAACUGCAUUCGAUACUGCCUGGCUAGAGUACUGGAGAGGAGAUUGGAAUUUACGGUGUAGCAGUGAAAUGCGUAGAUAUCGUAAGGAAGACCAGUGGCGAAGGCGGAUCUCUGGACAGUUACUGACACUGAGGCACGAAGGCCAGGGGAGCAAACGGG